GGGAGUAGCUUCAUCUCGAUGAGACGAUCAACUUUUUUAUUUACGAAAAUUCUUGAUUCUGGUAGCUAUAAAUUAGAAUUUAAGAUAAAUAAUAUUUCUAGAAUCACCAAAAAGCGGCAGUGCAUCACAAUCGCUUGACAGAUCUCGUCAAACUAGAACGCCUCGUUCAUCAAGCGAAUCAUCAGAUCUUGGGAAGCGGCUUACGCAGAGGACAAACUCAUUGCCGACUAGAAGUUGUGUCGUUGACACUCGCUCCAAAACACUAAAUUCAACUACUGCAAAAUGUCUUCCCGACGUGACCGCCCACGUUCUUGUCAACAAUAAAAAUUCAAAAGGCGGCCUAAAACGUCCACUUGCUGCUUCUAUAGGUUUGUGAAUUUUUGUCAUAAAUCUAUUGUGUUUGCUGAGUCAUGAAGUAUCUUUUUAUAGGUAGGUAAUAUACCUAUGAUAUAUGACUAUUGUCAUAACCAGUCUUCACAUUGGGUUUCUUUAGAGGGGGCUUUGAUUGGUAACAUUCUAAGAGAAGAUUCUGCUUCCGUUCUAUGUUCGCAUAGAUCUUUUGAACUGUUCAACGGAUAUAAAUGCAGUUUUCAGCAAUAGAUAGACCGAUGGAAGAGAAAGUUUUAUAUGUAUACAAGUAUACACACACAUACAAAAAAUGUAUCAGAGAUUUA
Long non-coding RNA from Bicyclus anynana (squinting bush brown), 674 nucleotides. RefSeq lists it as uncharacterized. The transcript is spliced from 3 exons. The record is from RefSeq and is a predicted model, not a curated record. Lineage: Eukaryota; Metazoa; Arthropoda; Insecta; Lepidoptera; Nymphalidae.